This 765-nucleotide ribosomal RNA is filed under the name uncultured Streptococcus sp. Its description in RNAcentral is "bacterial SSU rRNA". It matches the Rfam family "Bacterial small subunit ribosomal RNA", at positions 28 to 776 of the family's 1533-position model. Lineage: Bacteria; Bacillati; Bacillota; Bacilli; Lactobacillales; Streptococcaceae. The record is from RNAcentral.
GACGAACGCUGGCGGCGUGCCUAAUACGUGCAAGUAGAACGCUGAAGAGAGGAGCUUGCUCUUCUUGGAUGAGUUGCGAACGGGUGAGUAACGCGUAGGUAACCUGCCUUGUAGCGGGGGAUAACUAUUGGAAACGAUAGCUAAUACCGCAUAACAAUGGAUGACACAUGUCAUUUAUUUGAAAGGGGCAAUUGCUCCACUACAAGAUGGACCCGCGUUGUAUUAGCUAGUAGGUGAGGUAACGGCUCACCUAGGCGACGAUACAUAGCCGACCUGAGAGGGUGAUCGGCCACACUGGGACUGAGACACGGCCCAGACUCCUACGGGAGGCAGCAGUAGGGAAUCUUCGGCAAUGGGGGCAACCCUGACCGAGCAACGCCGCGUGAGUGAAGAAGGUUUUCGGAUCGUAAAGCUCUGUUGUAAGUCAAGAACGAGUGUGAGAGUGGAAAAUUCACACUGUGACGGUAGCUUACCAGAAAGGGACGGCUAACUACGUGCCAGCAGCCGCGGUAAUACGUAGGUCCCGAGCGUUGUCCGGAUUUAUUGGGCGUAAAGCGAGCGCAGGCGGUUUGAUAAGUCUGAAGUUAAAGGCUGUGGCUCAACCAUAGUUCGCUUUGGAAACUGUCAAACUUGAGUGCAGAAGGGGAGAGUGGAAUUCCAUGUGUAGCGGUGAAAUGCGUAGAUAUAUGGAGGAACACCGGUGGCGAAAGCGGCUCUCUGGUCUGUAACUGACGCUGAGGCUCGAAAGCGUGGGGAGCGAACAGG